Molecule: ribosomal RNA, 252 nt
Filed under: uncultured bacterium
Lineage: Bacteria
Description: partial 16S ribosomal RNA
Rfam family: Bacterial small subunit ribosomal RNA
Source: RNAcentral
GAUCCUGGCUCAGGACGAACGCUGGCGGCGUGCCUAACACAUGCAAGUCGAGCGGAGACAGUGAGUAGCUUGCUAUGAGCCGUUUUAGCGGCGGACGGGUGAGUAACGCGUGAGCAACCUUUCCCAGACAGGGGAAUAACACACCGAAAGGUGUACUAAUACCGCAUAAGACCACGGGAUCGACAUGGUUCUGAGGUAAAAGAUUUAUCGGUUUGGGGUGUGCUCGCGUCCGAUUAGGUAGUUGGUGAAGGG